AGUACCCUGUGGAGCUGGCGGGGCUAUUGAGUGCGAGGACCGUAGACUAGCCUAUAGUAGGCGGCUGUUAGAGGAUUUGGACGAAGGGGUGUGUGACAGCGACAAGUCACAGACGGCGGAAGAGUUAAGUGCGGCCGCCAAGGGCGGUUUAAGCUGGCGCAGAGUCCUCGGAGGUAGAAGGGCACUCGGGGUUGCUUUUUUCGCCUGGAUUGCACUUUGCAGUCCCCUGGAGGAGACCGGAAACCAGAGGACUGAAGGGAGUGAGUGUGUGAAACCCCGGAGGAAACACCUCUGGAUUCCGUCCUUACAUCUCCAGGCCCUAGAAGGGACCCCAUCAAGUCUGGUCGCCCCCAGGUCAGCCCCCCCGGCAGAAAAAUCUAAAUUUGGACAGUAACUGCGCUGCACCCCACCCCUAGUCUUCCAGGAAGUUCCAGGGCCCCGCCCCACACCCUGGGGGACUCUAAAUAAAAAAGGGGGGUUCCGUGAGGGCGGGGCAGGGUUGAAAGACCUGCGAUGGAGCCGCCUAUGUGGCCUGGGAAGAACCCCUGCUUCCUCAUCCGCCACUGGGCCUGAGGAAGACGCCAGACGGGCCUGGCAAGCGCCCAGAGAGUGACCUCAGACCACUGAUCAGGAAGUGAAGCCUGAAGGAGGUGCGCAGAAACCCAGUGUGCGACUAAAUUAAUGAUUCUGAUACCAGACCCUUGUACAGAAAGGGAAAAGAGCCAUUGGCUUCUCCAGCUGCAGGUGCAAAGUUACAGAGGCGUCGGGGACCUGAAAACCCAAUGCUUUUUAUGAAUGAGGAUCCCGAGGUCCAGUCAUACCAUCUGACAUUGUAUUACGCUGGGUCAGGCUCUGUUGUGAGUGUAUUUACUCUGUUAAUCCUCACAACAAUCCUAUGAGGGCCCAUAGCGGUAGUCCAGUGGGCGUGUUCAACCCCUCCAUGGAGAAACAGCAGUGAGGAUGGAACAGGGGAGAGUGUGAUGCAUCCAGGUACUCACUGAUGCUUGAGCGUGACUUCAUUCAGAAAUCUGCCUGCCGUGGGAUUCACUGAGUGCUGCUGGCCUCUGUGCACGGAAGGAGCCAGGCCCUGGGGAAGCUGCAGGAUCCAGAAGCACUCAGCUUGCUACCAAAGUGCCUGAGGUUUCUGUAGGUCAGAAGUCCAGCAUGAUGUGACUGGGCUCUCUGCUCAGGGUGUAACAAGGCUGCAAUCAAGAUGCUGGCCAUGCUAAAUUCUUGUCUGGAGGCUCUGGAGAAAAAUGUUUCCAAGCUCAUUCUUGUUGGCAAAAUUGAGUUCCUUGCAGUUGUGAGACCGAGGAUCCCACUUUCUUGUGGGCAAUCAACUGAGGCUGCUCUCAUCUCCUAGAGGCCACCCUAUCCUUUGCCAUGUGGCCCUCCAGGUCUUCGAGCCAGCAACUGUGUCAAAUGCUUCUAGUGCUUUGGAUUUUGGACAGUUACAUCUUCGAAAUCCCUUCACAACAGUAACUGGAUUCAUGUUUAAUGAAGUAAGUAGGAGAAGGUAUGUGUAUACCAGGGACUGAGAAUCUUGGGGGUCAUCUUAGAAUUCCACCUACCACAAGGAAGGAACACUUCCCAACAUAUUCUAUGAGUUCAGCAUUACUCUGAUCCUGAUAUCUAAACCAAACAAAGAAAUCCCAGCAAGUUAUUUCAUGGAUAUCAACAAACUGAUUGUAAAAUGUAUAAUGGAGAGGCAAAAGACCCACAGUAGCCAACACACUAUUGAAGGAGAACAGAGUAGGAGGACUGAUACAACCCAACUUCAAAACUUACUGUAAAACUACAGUAUUUAAGACAGUGUGGUAUUGCCAAAAGAAUAGACAGAGAUCAACAGCACAGAAGAGAGAGCUCAGAAAUACACCCACAUAAAUAUAGACAACUGAUUUUUUUAGAGGGGGGAGGGGCAGAAGGAGAGGGAGAGAGAGAGAAUCAUAAGUAGGCUCAAUGCCCAGUGUGGCUCGAGGCUCAAGGCUUGAUCCCACAACCUUGACAGCAUGACCUGAGCUAAAGUCAAGAGUUGGACACUUAACUGACUGAGCCACCCAGGCGCCUCAAGUCAACUGAUCUUUGACAAAGGAGCAAAUGUAA
Molecule: long non-coding RNA, 2103 nt
Organism: Zalophus californianus (California sea lion)
Lineage: Eukaryota; Metazoa; Chordata; Mammalia; Carnivora; Otariidae
Exons: 4
Source: RefSeq, a predicted model, not a curated record